ACAAACCAAAACAGAAUCAAACAGUGGAUGAAGCAAUGGUGAAAUACAAGGGAAGAUUUUCAAUUAAACAGUACAUGCCAGGAAAACCAAUCAAAAGAGGCAUGAACGUUUGGAUGCGGGCUGAUUCAACAUCUGGAUACUGUCAUCAAUUCAAUGUAUACAUGGGCAAGGACGAUCCAAACAAAGGGCCUAAACUAGGGGAAAAAGUGGUGAAACUGCUAUGCAAGGACCUCAAAUGGAAAGGACACCAUAUAUAUAUGGAUAGAUACUUUACAUCAGUACCAUUGUUUAGAUGUUUAGAAAGAAAUGGCAUUUAUGGAUGUGGUACAAUAAAAUGCACAGCAGUUGGU
Long non-coding RNA from Mytilus californianus (California mussel), 350 nucleotides. RefSeq lists it as uncharacterized. Lineage: Eukaryota; Metazoa; Mollusca; Bivalvia; Mytilida; Mytilidae. The record is from RefSeq and is a predicted model, not a curated record. The transcript has 3 exons.